RNAcentral lists this small RNA (346 nucleotides) under Arabidopsis thaliana (thale cress). Its description in RNAcentral is "ATSL086790". Lineage: Eukaryota; Viridiplantae; Streptophyta; Magnoliopsida; Brassicales; Brassicaceae. The record is from RNAcentral.
UAAGGCUCUUGGUCGUAAUCAAUUCAUUUAUCUUAUGUCCAAGUUGGGUAUUCAGAAUCUUCACACUCCAACCUGAGGGGGAGUAUUGGGGAUAGAGUAGAAUCUCUUGUGAUAUAUUUUGUGACAGAGUUAUGUCCUAUAAUUUAGGGAUUCGAGUUUAUUUUAUACGAUGACUCUCUUGUAUAAAUAUCACACUUUGUGAAUCAAUAAACUCAAGUUAGUGCAAUACCUAAUUCUACACAAAUAAUUUUCUCUCUCUCUGAAAGUUUUAGAGAGAGAAAAAAAUCUUUUGUGUGAACUUUAAUUUAAGGUUAAUGAUUUUUGAGGCACAAAAAAACUCAUUUCU